GACGAACGCUGGCGGCGUGCCUAAUACAUGCCAGUCGAACGCAGUGGGGACGGGUGAGUAACACGUGGGUAACCUCCCAUCAGAGGGGAUAACACUUGGAAACAGGUGCUAAACCGAUACUGAUGGAUGGACCCGCGGUGCAUUAGCUAGUUGGUGAGGUAACGGCUCGCCAAGGCCACGAUCCGUAGCUGGUUGGAGACGACUACCAGCCAACCUGGGACUGAGACACGGCCCAGACUCCUACGGGAGGCAGCAGUGGGGAAUUUUGGACAAUGGGGGAAACCCUGAUCCAGCCAUCCCGCGUGUAUGAUGAAGGCCUUCGGGUUGUAAAGUACUUUUGGCAGAGAAGCGGUAUCCGCAGAAUAAGCACCGGCUAACUACGUGCCAGCCGCCGCGGUAAUAC
RNAcentral lists this ribosomal RNA (403 nucleotides) under uncultured bacterium. RNAcentral's name for it is "partial 16S ribosomal RNA". It matches the Rfam family "Bacterial small subunit ribosomal RNA", at positions 28 to 526 of the family's 1533-position model. The record is from RNAcentral.